Small nucleolar RNA from Gorilla gorilla gorilla (western lowland gorilla), 116 nucleotides. Lineage: Eukaryota; Metazoa; Chordata; Mammalia; Primates; Hominidae. The record is from Ensembl.
GUCAAAUGAGCCUGAGCUGACAUUGUAGAGGAUGUAGAUGGCUGAAGAAACUGUUCAGCUGGAGUAUCUACUUCCAUUGCAGUUUCACUCACUUCCAAAUCAGGACUUCAUGGGAC